UGUUGCACUUCAUGCUGGAUUGGAAUCCGUCGGCAGCUGCUGCCGCUGACAGUGCUGUGGCCGUGUUUAGGGCACUGCAGUGCUCUCAUGCGGUGCAGAACCCAGAGCAGAAAGUUUUAUGGCGUGCUGGGUGCCGGUCAAAGUUUUUGCCGCCACAUUACUGCUGCAGCGCGGAUAAUUGAUCCGUCCCUCCGCCUUUAAGUCGCUUGCCUCCUAAGAAAUGGUUGCAGGGAGGAGGAAUGUCGGCAGCUAUGCAGUCCUGGCAGCAGCUGUAUUGAUCAUCCCUCUGAAGAAGUCCGUAUAGGACGAAACGCAUCAGGGUGGAAAAGAGAGAAAAUAUACCCUUCAUUUCAUCUAUGACACAAAUUAUUGCUAUGUGUAUUUGAAAGGUGUGGUAUCAAGGUAUAUAAGGCCUGGACAUCUACUGUUACCCACCUGUAUGAGGUUUGCCAUUGGAAAUCUUUCAAAACUCUCAGGAGAUUGGUUGAAUCUUUCAAGUAUGAUUGCUGUUGUUUUACAUACGGUUGAAGUUUCAAAUCCAGGAAAUGGGACAAAUUUGAAGUCAGUGAAUCCACCCCUGCCACUAUUGAUCUUCCUGGAGGUGGAUUUUUACUCUUAUGUACCUUAGGUAAAUGAUAGAAUAUUAGAAUCCUGGGUUUUUUGUUAUACAUAUAUUCAAACGCCUCCCUACACAUGGUUUCCUUACUUAGAGCCUUAUUCAGGACAAUGGACAAAUCUUCUUUGAAGAUUUCCGUUGGAUUGGUUUCCAAACUUUCAUAUGCAGUUAUAUCUUUAAUCUGUCUUUUAGCCUCAUGCAGGUACGCAGAUCUGUCCUGGAUCACGACAGCCCCACUUUUAUCUGCCAUUUUAAUCACUAUGUCGUCAUCAUUUGGGGUAAAGUUGUCUUGGAAUCUAUUAUCUUGGAUUUUUAAUUUCUUGAAGUCCUCUUUUACAGAGUCAAAGAAGAAAUCUAUAUGACAGCUCCUGGAUUCCACAGCAUAAUACAUGGAUCUGGGUGCUAAUAGUGGUUUAUUUUUAGGUUUUUAAUUCAAUUUGGGCAUGAUUUUUUUUAGGAAGUGUCUCUUAAAUAAUAUGUAUAAUGUUUAUAAUUGCCAACAAAUUCAUCAUGUCUGUAAUAAUGUUUUUUUCUGUCAUGUAAAGAGGAUUUCCCUUUAAGGGAGCUGUAUUAACAUGAACAUUCUAGACAUGUGGGAUAUAAAGUAACUGUAUGUUCAAAAAUGAAUAGAAUGGUUUUGUUACAUCCUGAGGAAUAAUAUAUAAAUGGAUAUUGAGAACUGUGUCAUAUGAUACUGCUCCCGCGGGUAUGAGAAAAAUGUGUUUGUGUAUUUGUAUUAUUAUUUGUAUUUGUAUUAGUGCUGAAAUCCGAUAAGUUCAAAAUGUAUUAAUGAAUUGAGUUUUUGAAGUGUAUAAUUUUAUAUGUAUUCUUAAAAAAGUAAUAUGCUAAAGUAAUAUGCUAAGGUUAGUGGGGUAUGAUCAGGCCACACCCCCGAUGAUGUCUAAUGACGACAAGCGUUGGGCAUGUUUUUUGGACAGAUGGAGACACGUCACGAUCCGUGUCCUCUGAGAGCAGGAGACCUGCAGGCCGUGACAGCGCUACUGACUACAGAUGCUGGGAAGCAGUGUUAGCGGGAGCCAUGGAGCCACUUUGAACAACGUUGGCAGCCUGGAUAUUGAGAUCCAUCCUAAGCCAAUGCAGGACCAGUGUGAGGCUGAUUGUGGUUAUUUGAGAUGUAUGUGAGCUUCUACUCUAUUUAUUAAAUAAUUGAUGCUUAUUA
Long non-coding RNA from Pseudophryne corroboree (corroboree frog), 1796 nucleotides. RefSeq lists it as uncharacterized. Lineage: Eukaryota; Metazoa; Chordata; Amphibia; Anura; Myobatrachidae. The transcript is spliced from 3 exons. The record is from RefSeq and is a predicted model, not a curated record.